UGGAGUGACAUUCUGGUUCACUUUAAUUAGCUGUUGCCUAGUAAACUAUGAAUCCCUGCAUUUGCACAGAUGCUGGGAUUUAAUGUUUUUUUUUUCUAAUUUUCUAAUUAAGGCUAUACAAGAUGGUCCAAUAUACAAUGACUGAAGAAUUUCAAAUCAGCACUGUUUCAAAACUGAUCUGAAAGAAUCGCUCUCAUGUGAAAAGCUCAAAAGAUCGGCGGUAGAAAUGACGAGGAGGCUUCUGAGGUAACCUUGAACCGUUUAUUCGAGCAAGAACGUAACGAACAUCAACUUAUUAUAGAGAUUGAAAGUUCUUGUUGCGUGGCAGAAGGAAGACUGGAACUCAUGGCAGGUCUACACCACAGAAGCUAUGUGUCCAAUUGCUCCUGCAGUCACAAACAAAUUUGAUGUAAAGGAUAGUGCAUGACAGAAGCUUGAUUUUUAAAAAACGGAAUAUCAAUCUUCCUGGAAAUUAGUAUUUCCAUGUUAAAACACAGAAAUCAAGGUUAUACAAAUCAGGUAUGCAGUCUUUUUCUAACCAAGCCAAAGUAAAAGAGGAUGCUUAGAAAUUGUUUAAGGCACUUAAAAUAUUUGAUUGUAAAUGUGUUAACAGCAGCCAGAAUUGUAUUUGCAAAAA
This is a non-coding RNA of Thamnophis sirtalis, 637 nucleotides long. The record is from RefSeq and is a predicted model, not a curated record. Lineage: Eukaryota; Metazoa; Chordata; Lepidosauria; Squamata; Natricidae.